UACGAAUCCGUGAUCAUCGGUAGUGGUGAAUAUCUAUCCAUGCUAAGAUAUUGAGAUUCGAUCUCAUACUUAUUUUUAAAUUUUAAGUUAUAUAUUUAUAUUUUUUUUGAGCUUGGAUAGGAUUAGAUUUAUUUUUAUACAUGUGGGGUUAAAGGGUUUAACCCAUUUGUUUUUCACUGUGUUCAAAAAUAUUUUGAAAUAUACAUAUGCUGCCUAUCUGAUUUUCUAACAGUGGUAUUAGAGCUACAGGUUUUUGAAAACACAUAUGAUCUGGUUUUUCUAUUA
RNAcentral lists this long non-coding RNA (285 nucleotides) under Elaeis guineensis (African oil palm). Its description in RNAcentral is "long non-coding RNA (EGUI_LNC046652)". The record is from RNAcentral. Lineage: Eukaryota; Viridiplantae; Streptophyta; Magnoliopsida; Arecales; Arecaceae.